AACUCAAAGGAAUUGACGGGGGCCCCGCACAAGCAACGGAGCAUGCGGCUUAAUUCGAUGCAACGCGAAGAACCUUACCUAGGCUUGACAUGCAUUGAAAACUGUUAGAGGUAACAGGUCCGCAAGGGCUUUGCACAGGUGGUGCAUGGCUGUCGUCAGCUCGUGUCGUGAGAUGUUGGGUUAAGUCCCGCAACGAGCGCAACCCUCGUCUUGUGUUGCCAACAGGUAAUGCUGGGAACUCACAAGAGACUGCCGGGGUCAACUCGGAGGAAGGUGGGGACGACGUCAAGUCAUCAUGCCCCUUAUGUCUAGGGCUGCACGCAUGCUACAAUGGCCGAUACAAAGGGCUGCGAUACCGCAAGGUGGAGCGAAUCCCAUAAAGUCGGUCUCAGUUCGGAUUGAGGUCUGCAACUCGACCUCAUGAAGUUGGAGUUGCUAGUAAUCGCGGAUCAGCAACGCCGCGGUGAAUACGUUCCCGGGCCUUGUACACACCGCCCGUCACGUCACGAAAGUCGGUAACACCCAAA
RNAcentral lists this ribosomal RNA (527 nucleotides) under uncultured Actinomycetes bacterium. Its description in RNAcentral is "bacterial SSU rRNA". It matches the Rfam family "Bacterial small subunit ribosomal RNA", at positions 898 to 1425 of the family's 1533-position model. Lineage: Bacteria; Bacillati; Actinomycetota; Actinomycetes. The record is from RNAcentral.